Amborella trichopoda is the source of this 3164-nucleotide non-coding RNA. NCBI's taxonomy places the organism in Eukaryota, Viridiplantae, Streptophyta, Magnoliopsida, Amborellales, Amborellaceae. The record is from RefSeq and is a predicted model, not a curated record.
AAACUUUUAUUUUCAACUUUUCUCAAUGUGGGGACCAAAAUAUGCUUAACCCACUGUGUUGAGUAUAAAUAGCAUUGAUGGACAUACCCUAUCUGCCAUUAAAAAACCAGGCUACUUCUUCAUCAGUGUCUUAGAAUUCUUGUUGUUGGUAGACAACAUUUUCAUAACUAGCAACACUAUGUCGGUUGUUGAUGAAACUUAUAAUUUCUUCCUCGAUUUUGUUAAUGGUGGCAAUGAUGACAUAGCAAUUGAUGCAAUAAUGCAUCCCGACGGAGAUGAUGACGAUGAUGAUGACACAAUAGAUGUCGCCCCAGCUGCAACCUUAGGGUUUGGGCCUGUGCGUAAUUAGCGAAUAAGGGUGCUUGAAGGAAGGUACUUGCAUUGCUGCCAUUUAAUAUCCAUGUGCAUGCAGGCAGGAUAUUUCUGAAGACCUUGUUUUAAUACUAUAUCAAUAGAGUUUUACCCAUAAAUGAACAACUCUAAAAUUUUGAUGUAAUAGUUAUCUGUACAAUGAGAUAAGUAAUGGUAUUACUUAGUGAUUACUUUUCAGAUGAUACAGCUUUAUGAAAGUGGUGAUUCUCAUGCUGAUCCCAUUGCCUCUGGCUAUACACAUUUAAUCGUUUACGUCUUUUUGUUUCAAAUACUGAAGCUUCGAGAGAAUUUUUUACACAUGGAAACUGGUGCUGUUUUUGCUUGUUAAAUAGCCCAAGUAGAAGAGAUGAAAGAGAUUAUAUGGGCUUCCCGUCAUGGCUUUUUAACUUAGUAAACCAAACUUGGUGAAGCAUCAAAGAGAACUUCAAUGAUUAUAUUUUAAAAGACAAAAAUGAGAUGUUAUUUUCAAGCAAAUGGAGAACCCGCAAUGUUAUCAUCGCUCAACGCAAGGGUUACAAAGCACAAUGAGAGAGAGAGAGAGAGCGAGAGAGAGAGAGAGAGUUGUUUCUCCAUGGUAUCACGAGGACUAAUAGUACAAUGGAAAAUCCAUUUUUUUUAGGGCACGGAAAGGUUUUCCAAGGAAAUACCUUUUUUCCAAUUUUACCAACAUGGAGAACGUAUAAAACAGUAGUAAAUGAGAAAAUAUUUUCCCCAUUUUCAUGGAAGCGGCAACAUUUUUUGAUAAUUCAAUGGAGAAGACAAUCCCCUACCCCUUUCUUCAAUGGAGUUGGUUUUUUUGAAGGUAUUAGUGGAUGCUGUCAAUGGGAAUGGAAACCACAACAAGGCGAUUAGGGUGUGGGGGUGCUACCACCACAACCCCAAACCCUUUCCCAUAGAAGCAGCAUUCCCCACAGUUCUUUAUAUCUCAAAUCAUUUUCGUACCCGCGUAAUUAAAAACUUUGGAGGCUAAACCCUGUAACCCCACCACCUGCCCACCACGCCCCGACCGCACUUUUAACAAUGUUUCGCUCUGUAUGUGCUCUAUGUGUAUGUGUAUAAGUGUGCGUGUUAGUUAUGCAAUUUUCUUGGAAGGAAACCAAGGAACUACGAUUGAUAAUAGAGCUCGUAUUGAGUAUUUGAAGAAUUCCAUGAGCAGAUAUGAAGGCACUGGCAGUCGGAAACCAAACGGCUUCACUAAUAUGGAGGAUAGUUCUAAGUAUUUCCAUUGUUUCGUUUGCCUUUUGUCUUGUACCGUUCGAUCAGCCACAUGAGUUGUGAAAAUUUGAAAUUAGUUUUGUACUAUCUCUCUACUAUGGGUGAAUCUUUUUCAUUUUAAUUUCUUUGUUCAUAUGGGAUAUCGAACAUCUUAAUAGCGAUGGAUUGGGUGCCUUGGGUGGGACAUAUUGUGGAAUGUAAUUUAAACUACUUUUGUAACUAAUCACUAUUCUAUCUCCUAGUUUCUCUCUUAGUUGUGCGGUGGUUUGGGUUAAUAGUUAUGCACUAUUUUCGCUUUCUACGGGUUUAUUUUUAGUUAUUUUCUAAUGGGUAGUUAUUGAAUUAUAGUGGGUUGUCGGUUAUCAUAAGUACGAGACAAACAUCUCAUGUACUGGGUAGUUAUUGUUAUAAAUGAGGUAAAGGCUACUUCUCAAUCGGUUGGAUGAGCCUUCAUUUAAAGAGGGGCGCUAUAAGCAAAUGAGCCAAGCCAGUGAAAGUGUGCAGCAUAUUUUUGGAGAAAAAAAGUUAUUGAAAGAGCCUGUUCACAGAAAGCUGGGAGUGGCAUGAAGUGAUUCAAGACGGGAAAAUGAACAGAAAGAAAAUAAAGCAAAGGGAAGUAGCAACAAAGGCAAAUACUUGUAUGUCCUAAAAAAUAGUUUCCAUCUUCAAAGCCUAUGAUGAUCAAGAAGGAAGGCUUACUACAGCCCAACAAGCGAAGGACACCGUGCUUUUGUUUUACAUUUAGUAGGCUGUGGAUGAGACCAUAUGUCUGAGAAUAAUGGCAGCAGAAAAACAUCAAAGGAAGCAAGGGACUUGCUUCGAGAAGAAUACUGAGUCCUAAGUCAGGGAAUCCAAAGAGUUAACAACUUUAUCUAUGAAUCAUCUAAUGGUUCUCGUCAAGCAUAUGAGAUAAGAUUGAAUAGAUCUACAGAAAAUCCAUUGAACAGACCUGUCAAUCAAAACAUAAUCUAAGACAGGCUCGAGUGAAGGUGGGAAAAGUCGCUCAUCAGAAAAAAGGCGUGAUGGAAGAGGAGGUGCAAAGCAAAACCUUCUAGGCAAAGGAAGAACUUGAUUUAACCAAAGUCAUUAGCAUUUCAUUAGAGCUUGACUGUAAUUGUGGUGUUAUACUGGACCAAAGCAGACCAUUGAGUAGAAAUCAUUGACAAUGCACUGGUGGUUGAAGACCUCAAGACAAAAGAUCGAUAUUUAAAGGAGAUCAAGCGAGAGGUGAUCUUGUCUAAAGGUGAGUUGGUUGUGGAAGAAUAAGAAGCACAUGAGGAGGAAUCUAGUGAUGACUCCAAAGAAGAGCUUGUAUUAACUAUUGAACCACAGUUCCAGAUGGACAAGUUAAGAGCUCUAAGAGGAUGUUAUGCACGGUCUCAGGGGACCAGGACUGAUGAGAGAGCGUGUCCCACUUUAUUAGCCAUUGAGGUCAAGAAGCAAAAAAAAAAGCAUCCCCCCCAAAAGAGGAUGUUGAUUUUAAGUUACAAUUUUUUGAUGUAAUUUUGAAUACUUUGGAUAUAGUGGACUAUAAAUAUAAAUUUCAAUCAAAAUUUUGGCUUUAAGAUUUCAUUAGA